GGAAGGAUCAUUAAAAUAAGUGAGGGCUUGUUUGAGAGGGAGCCUGGCUCCUGACCGGCAAGCAACUCGCCUGACUUGUUCAGGUACCCUUGCUUCGUUUUUCGAGUACCAUGUUGUUUCCUCGGCAGGCUUGCCUGCCAACGGGGACCCCAAAUCAAACUCUUGUAGUAGCAGUAUCAGUCUGAGAAAACUUAUAAUAAUCAAAACUUUCAACAACGGAUCUCUUGGUUCUGGCAUCGAUGAAGAACGCAGCGAAAUGCGAUAAGUAGUGUGAAUUGCAGAAUUCCGUGAAUCAUCGAAUCUUUGAACGCACAUUGCGCCCUUUGGUAUUCCAUAGGGCAUGCCUGUUCGAGCGUCAUUUCACCCUUCAAGCUCUGCUUGGUGUUGGGCGUCUGUUCCACCUCAGUGUGUGAACUCGCCUUAAAUUUAUUGGCAGCUAGUAUGUAGGCUUCGAGCGCAGCAGAAUUGCGUCCUUGAACCUGGCAAACUGGCCUCCAAAAGCACAUUUACCAUCUUGACCUCGGAUCAGGUAGGGAUACCCGCUGAACUUAAGCAUAUCAAUAAGCGGAGGAAAAGAAACCAACAGGGAUUGCCCUAGUAACGGCGAGUGAAGCGGCAACAGCUCAAAUUUGAAAUCUGGCCUCUUUGGGGUCCGAGUUGUAAUUUGCAGAGGGUGCUUUGGCGUUGGCUGUGGUCUAAGUUCCUUGGAACAGGACGUCACAGAGGGUGAGAAUCCCGUAUGUGGCCGCCAGCCUUCGCCGUGUAAAGCCCCUUCGACGAGUCGAGUUGUUUGGGAAUGCAGCUCUAAAUGGGAGGUAAAUUUCUUCUAAAGCUAAAUACUGGCCAGAGACCGAUAGCGCACAAGUAGAGUGAUCGAAAGAUGAAAAGCACUUUGGAAAGAGAGUCAAAAAGCACGUGAAAUUGUUGAAAGGGAAGCGCUUGCAGCCAGACUUGCCUGUAGUUGCUCACCUGGGCCUUGUGCCCAGGGCACUCUUCUAUAGGCAGGCCAGCAUCAGUUCGGGCGGUUGGAUAAAGGCCUCAGGCAUGUACCUCUUACGGGAGGACGUAUAGUCGAGGCGACAUGCAACCAGCUCGGAUUGAGGUCCGCGCAUUUGCUAGGAUGCUGGCGUAAUGGCUGUAAGCGGCCCGUCUUGAAACACGGACCAAGGAGUCUAACAUCUAUGCGAGUGUUUGGGUGUCAAGCCCGGACGCGUAAUGAAAGUGAACGGAGGUGGGAACCCUUUGGGGUGCACCAUCGACCGAUCCUGAUGUCUUCGGAUGGAUUUGAGUAAGAGCAUAGCUGUUGGGACCCGAAAGAUGGUGAACUAUGCCUGAAUAGGGUGAAGCCAGAGGAAACUCUGGUGGAGGCUCGCAGCGGUUCUGACGUGCAAAUCGAUCGUCAAAUUUGGGCAUAGGGGCGAAAGACUAAUCGAACUAUCUAGUAGCUGGUUCCUGC
This 1456-nucleotide unclassified non-coding RNA is filed under the name uncultured fungus. RNAcentral's name for it is "sequence contains 18S rRNA gene, ITS1, 5.8S rRNA gene, ITS2, 28S rRNA gene". The stretch from base 516 to 1456 matches the Rfam family "Eukaryotic large subunit ribosomal RNA", at positions 1 to 961 of the family's 3401-position model. Lineage: Eukaryota; Fungi. RNAcentral also lists the same sequence under 1 other name. The record is from RNAcentral.